This 2711-nucleotide long non-coding RNA is filed under the name Phasianus colchicus (ring-necked pheasant). RNAcentral's name for it is "lncRNA (ENSPCLG00000014005.1)". Lineage: Eukaryota; Metazoa; Chordata; Aves; Galliformes; Phasianidae. The record is from RNAcentral.
GGUCCAGAGUUAAAUGAGACUAUCUUUUCAGUCUGGAAAUUCCUUCUUUUCUCCUAAAAAAAAAAAGUGGAGUAUUGGGUAGCUUGGAGAAGAAAGUGGCCAGUAUCCUUUUCUUUUUUGUCUGCUAUUUGAAAAAAAAAAAAGAUUUUUUUUCAGCCUUGUUCAUUAAUACUGCUGAUGUUAGUGAUCACAUCAUUUAAAACAGCAAAAUGUAUCUCACCUGCCUCCAUGCUGCCUUUUAAAUAUAAUUCUCUGGUGUUCUUUUAUUUGCUUAUUGGACUGUAAAAGUCUCUGUUUAUGUAUGUAUACUCUCAACUGUUUUUAUUUUAGUUUUCUGUCAUUGCUGCUGCUGUUUUCUACAGUUUCUCUAAUCAGUUACAGCUUUUUUGAGCCAAUGAGUGUGGAGAAUACCUUUCAAAAGAGAUAUCAGCUCUUUCAGCCAAAAAGCCUCAUCAAACUCAAGAUCCUGGAGACAUGACAAGCUGUCUGGCUAGGCUGAGGAUAUUGGACCUCAGGACAGGUGACCACGGAGUGAAGGAGGAUGUGAAAUCUUUGCCAUCAUCCUGCAGAGGAUGGAUGAGGGGGCUCCGAGCAGACAUAAAGUGCUUUGGAUCGGUGGGUUUCACUUGGAUUGAAACUUGGUGUGGCUCUGAUGCUUUUGUUCUUAGUAGAGGAAGAGUUACCAUAGUAAGUACUAAUUUACUAUGCAAUGAUGAUGUUGCAGUACUAUGUAAUACAGAUGCUACUGGAGGAAAAGCAGAAAAAAUGAUAUUUUGUCUCCAGAAAAACAGUUCUGAAAAUGAUCUUUGCUAUAUGUUUGAGGCAACUCUGACAAUAAUCCUGACUACGCUGGGAGUAAUUCAGUGGUACUUAUCUGAAGCUAGUGAGUUAAUGCAUCUGAAGACAUAGGGAAGUUUUAUUUCAAAGUCGAUGUUGGUUUACAGUAAGAAUAUGUUUUCUGUUUUUAGUAAAAAGUUAUAUAUUUUAAAAUGCUUACAAAGCAUUUGCAGGGGCAAAAGCCUUGCUGUGCCAGGCAGUGCUUAUGCUCAAAUGAUGAAAGUAGUCUAAUAGUCUCAGAGGUUGAAACAGACAGUGCAAAACAUGGAAAAUGUUCUACAGAGAGGGAACUGAAAUCAAGAUUCUUGAAAAUGCUUCCUACUUUGUGCACUUAAAUGCCACUGAAAUGUGUACAAGCUGAGCACCAGAGUGCCUUGAGAAUCUGGUUUGGGAUACAGGACAACUAAGUGGUAUUUUUUGUUGCUUUUUGUGUGAAUGAAAAAAGGAAUGUACCGCUUACUACCUUCUCUUGACACCUUCCCAAUGUCUGGUCUGUGGGUAUUUAGGAAAUCUGAAGAUGAGCAGAGGCUGUCUGAACAACAGUCUUUAUCUGCUGGCACUGUCUGUCCUCUCUUUCAGAAAAUAUUUCAUGUGUAUGUUCUUUAUGUAAUUGCAGUUGCAUUAAUAGGAUGGCUUUGUUUUAAUAUGUACCUAUAAAGCAAUCAUGCACCUACUUAGGUAUGUUUUGACCCAGCUGGGUGAUGGUGACACUGAGGAAGUAUGAGUACAGCAAGCAGAGGUCAUUUUUGAUUCUGAACAAUUAGUUGGCUCCAAUGCUACAAUGGAGCUCACGGGGGUACUUCUGAGAGGUUUUCCAGUGCCCUGUUUACAAGGAUAUGCCAUCACUCUGAACCUAAAUUAACUGUCAUAAUUAAGCAAAGUGGGGACUUGAAUGAUUCCUGAACCAGAAAACAUUUUUUGUAUAGGAAUGAGUUUUAUUCAUGCUGGAUAAAUCUCUGGGAAUCAAACUCAUUGAUGGUGAAAAGUAGUCAAGAUGUUACCAAUGCACUUUAAUCAGACCAAGCAGUUAUUAGCAACAGAACAGGAGGGAAAAAGUUAUACUCUGUAUCUUCCUUUAAGAAAGAGUCCAAUAUAAAAAUAUUUCCAUUUGCUUCAGCUGUUUCUUUUCCUAUCCCACUGUCUUUGUCUUUCAGCUGCCAAGAGCAGAAUGAUGUGAUUCAUAGACUUUUUAACUGAAAUUGUACACAGCCAAAUCCAGGGGCUGCUACUCCCUUGGAAGUUGGUGGCAAAAUUCCCAUUGACUUCAGCAGAAGCAGGCUUGGUUUAUCAAUGGGUAGGGAAAAAUACAACAUCAGCGUGGGUGAUCUGCAGAAGGGUCACUUACAUUUGUGGGACCAUGCUUUGUGUUCAUAUCCUGUGGUGUCUUACCUUACUGGCUUACCUUACAUAGCUGCUGAUCUUGAGGCUUCAUAUGCCUCUUUUGAGAGUGCUCCUCUGGCCCAACUGAUCUUAUAGUUAAUUUUCAAUGUUUAGCCUAAUUUUUUUGUUUCAUUGUGUUGGGUUGUUCCAGCAUGUUCUGUACCUUCUCAAAUUAGGAGUAUUUCUCUUUAUUUCCCCAAUUCUGUGUGGAGUAAGAUAUCUUCAAAUAUUUUAUUUGAAGGUUUCUGUUGUUUGCUUUAAAGAUAACACACAGUGUAGUGCUUCUGAUCAGCUUCAUUUAAAUCCUCUAUGAUCUAUGUACCCUUCUGUGAAUACAUAGCAGGUUUUCCUACCCUAAAUGCACUGCUAUGUAGAGCACUGGAUAUACAACUAGGGCUACAGUGCCAGAUCCUGGGUGGUGCUGAGUUGCUUGGUUUGGUCCAGCAAAGCACUUAAGCACUGCCUCAGAAAUAAAAUGAGUAAUGCCAGAAGCA